AUACCAUGGUGUGGGCAAUGUCUUUGCAAGUCUUUAAAUCUUUCCCAAGCUUCAUAAAGAGAUUCUCCAGGCUGUUGCUUAAAUCCAGCGAGAUCUUGGCGAUAUUU
Ricinus communis (castor bean) is the source of this 107-nucleotide non-coding RNA. Lineage: Eukaryota; Viridiplantae; Streptophyta; Magnoliopsida; Malpighiales; Euphorbiaceae. The record is from Rfam.